UACAGAGGGGGCAAGCGUUGUUCGGAAUUACUGGGCGUAAAGCGCGCGUAGGCGGUUUUGCAAGCCAGAGGUGAAAUGCCUGAGCUCAACUUAGGAAUUGCCUUUGGGACUGCGAGGCUUUGAGGACGGGAGAGGUGAGUGGAAUUCCCAGUGUAGAGGUGAAAUUCGUAGAUAUUGGGAAGAACACCGGUGGCGAAGGCGGCUCACUGGCCCGUUUCUGACGCUGCAGCGCGAAAGCGUGGGGAGCAAACAGG
This 254-nucleotide ribosomal RNA is filed under the name uncultured bacterium. RNAcentral's name for it is "partial 16S ribosomal RNA". It matches the Rfam family "Bacterial small subunit ribosomal RNA", at positions 524 to 776 of the family's 1533-position model. The record is from RNAcentral.